This 73-nucleotide transfer RNA is filed under the name Fregata aquila (Ascension frigatebird). RNAcentral's name for it is "tRNA-Asn". Lineage: Eukaryota; Metazoa; Chordata; Aves; Suliformes; Fregatidae. The record is from RNAcentral.
CUAGACAAGCGGGCCUCGAUCCCACAAGGUCCUAGUUAACAGCUAGGUGCCCAAACCAACAGGCUUUCGUCUA